AGAAAAGGAAUUUAUGCCUUCAUUUUCUAUGUAAGUUUCAUGGCAUCUCAUCCAAAGUGACAGAAAAAAAUGAUCCUAGAAUAUCUGCAGCAUAUUUUGCUGAAUGUUAACAGCAGGUUCAGAUGUGUUUCAUUUCUGACCUUGUGAAAUGCUUUCUUGCUUAUGCAAUGCUUUAUACAUCAAAUAUACAAACCACGAUGAACGAUUCAGCUUCUAGCAAAAGGAUAAAUCGGAGAAAACAAAUAUUGUUCAGGAUUCAAGCACAACAACUUAUAGGAAGAAAACAUAUCACCAAAUAUUGAUAGAGGAAAUUUAAAGGUGCGGAAAUUUCUUCAAUGUCAACAGGAGAUGUGGAACAAGAACUGCG
Molecule: long non-coding RNA, 367 nt
Filed under: Fukomys damarensis (Damara mole-rat)
Lineage: Eukaryota; Metazoa; Chordata; Mammalia; Rodentia; Bathyergidae
Description: lncRNA (ENSFDAG00000023387.1)
Source: RNAcentral